AAAUCCGGUUCACUUUAACACUGAGGCGUGACGACGAGGCACUACGGUGCUGAAGCAACAAAUGCCCUGCUUCCAGGAAAAGCCUCUAAGCAUCAGGUAACAUCAAAUCGUACCCCAAACCGACACAGGUGGUCAGGUAGAGAAUACCAAGGCGCUUGAGAGAACUCGGGUGAAGGAACUAGGCAAAAUGGUGCCGUAACUUCGGGAGAAGGCACGCUGACACGUAGGUGAAGUGAUUUACUCAUGGAGCUGAAGUCAGUCGAAGAUACCAGCUGGCUGCAACUGUUUAUUAAAAACACAGCACUGUGCAAACACGAAAGUGGACGUAUACGGUGUGACGCCUGCCCGGUGCCGGAAGGUUAAUUGAUGGGGUCAGCGCAAGCGAAGCUCCUGAUCGAAGCCCCGGUAAACGGCGGCCGUAACUAUAACGGUCCUAAGGUAGCGAAAUUCCUUGUCGGGUAAGUUCCGACCUGCACGAAUGGCGUAAUGAUGGCCAGGCUGUCUCCACCCGAGACUCAGUGAAAUUGAACUCGCUGUGAAGAUGCAGUGUACCCGCGGCAAGACGGAAAGACCCCGUGAACCUUUACUAUAGCUUGACACUGAACAUUGAGCCUUGAUGUGUAGGAUAGGUGGGAGGCUUUGAAGUGUGGACGCCAGUCUGCAUGGAGCCGACCUUGAAAUACCACCCUUUAAUGUUUGAUGUUCUAACGUGGACCCGUUACCCGGGUUGCGGACAGUGUCUGGUGGGUAGUUUGACUGGGGCGGUCUCCUCCUAAAGAGUAACGGAGGAGCACGAAGGUUGGCUAAUCCUGGUCGGACAUCAGGAGGUUAGUGCAAUGGCAUAAGCCAGCUUGACUGCGAGCGUGACGGCGCGAGCAGGUGCGAAAGCAGGUCAUAGUGAUCCGGUGGUUCUGAAUGGAAGGGCCAUCGCUCAACGGAUAAAAGGUACUCCGGGGAUAACAGGCUGAUACCGCCCAAGAGUUCAUAUCGACGGCGGUGUUUGGCACCUCGAUGUCGGCUCAUCACAUCCUGGGGCUGAAGUAGGUCCCAAGGGUAUGGCUGUUCGCCAUUUAAAGUGGUACGCGAGCUGGGUUUAGAACGUCGUGAGACAGUUCGGUCCCUAUCUGCCGUGGGCGCUGGAGAACUGAGGGGGGCUGCUCCUAGUACGAGAGGACCGGAGUGGACGCAUCACUGGUGUUCGGGUUGUCAUGCCAAUGGCACUGCCCGGUAGCUAAAUGCGGAAGAGAUAAGUGCUGAAAGCAUCUAAGCACGAAACUUGCCCCGAGAUGAGUUCUCCCUGAGACUUAAAGUCUCCUGAAGGAACGUUGAAGACGACGACGUUGAUAGGCCGGGUGUGUAAGCGCAGCGA
Molecule: ribosomal RNA, 1369 nt
Filed under: Salmonella enterica
Lineage: Bacteria; Pseudomonadati; Pseudomonadota; Gammaproteobacteria; Enterobacterales; Enterobacteriaceae
Also listed under: 2 other names
Description: partial 23S ribosomal RNA
Rfam family: Bacterial large subunit ribosomal RNA
Source: RNAcentral